CCCGUACUCGCGGUUGGUGUGGGGGGUGUCUGUGUGUCUGUCUGUCACCGGCCCCGCUCUCAUCCCCUUUCCCCUGCCUUUUCCCCGGGGUGGCGGCCGACGCAUCCUCCCCCUUCCCCGCGUCUCUCCGCCGCUGGCUCGCCGCAGUCGGCCCGGUGCCCCGCCGCCGCCCCGUCAGCUUGCGGUGUGAUUUCCCGGGCGGGGGAGGGUACUGGAAUCACAAGCUCAAGCCUGUGGCUGUUGCAGCACCUGAUAACAACGUGAACGUUUAAUUCAAAUCUGCAACUUAAGAACAAGCCUACGUACCUAGCCUUAUUCUUUCCUGUCACCUCUGUGCUACUGAGACCAACAUCGGCUCGUCCUUGCUUCUGAUUACCUUGUUUGGAAUCAAUCAUGGCUGAUGACUCGCAGAGAAACUUCCGUUCAGUGUAUUAUGAAAAAGUGGGGUUUCGUGGAGUUGAAGAAAAGAAGUCACUGGAAAUUCUGUUAAAAGAUGACCGGUUGGAUAUUGAGAAGCUUUGUACAUUUAGUCAAAGGUUUCCUCUCCCAUCUAUGUAUCGUAUACUGGUGUGGAAAGUGCUUCUAGGAAUUAUUCCUCCUCACCAUGAAUCUCAUGCUUUGGUGAUGAAGUACCGGAAGGAGCAGUAUUGGGAUGUACACCAUGCUCUUCGUGUAAUUCGUUUUAUUAAUGAUUCUACCCCACAGGUUGAUGUUUUCCUCCGCAUACAUCAACUGGAAUCAGGAAAAUUGCCUCGAAACUUGGCUUUUCCAUUGGAACCUGAAGAUGAAGUGUUUCUUGCUAUUGCUAAAGCAAUGGAGGAAAUGGUGGAGGAUCCUAUAGAAUGCUAUUGGCUUGUCAGUUGCUUUGUGAAUCAGCUGAACAGCAAGCACAAAGAUUCAUUACAACAACUGCCAAAAAUUCUGGAGCAGUAUUUAAACAUUGAAGAUAACAGACUUCUGAUGCAUCUGAAAGCAUGUGCUGCAAUGAGCAAACUCCCUUACGAUCUUUGGUUUAAAAAGUGUUUUGCAGGCUGUUUACCCGAGUCCAGUUUACAGAGAGUUUGGGACAAAGUUAUUAGUGGGUCCUGCAAGAUUCUUGUUUUUGUUGCUGUGGAGAUAUUAUUAACCUUUAAAAUGAAGAUAAUAGCACUGACUACUGCAGAAAAGAUCACGCAGUUUUUGGAAAAUAUUCCUCAAGACAACACUGAUGCUAUUGUCAGCAAAGCUGUUGAUCUGUGGCGCACACACUGUGGGACUCCAGCACACUCAGUCUGAGAACUUUCUUCACUUCUGAUAGCUUGGGGAAAAAAAGACAUUUGAAAAGACAUUUUACCACUCUUCCUCCAUCCUAGUGUGAUGUUCGUCAUUACUUCUAUGUAAAGAUGCUAUUACAGCAGCUAAUAGCAUAGCGAUCAAUUUGUAAAUAUUUUUCAAUAAAUACAGAUGGAAUGAAGAUACCUAGUGGCGGUGUGAUCAUAUCCAGAGUGUUUCUUGGCCAGCCAGCUACAGUGUUCUGAUCGCACAGCGUGCUCUCUGGCUUUUGGGGAAGUAAAUCUAACUCUUAAAGAAAGCUGACAUCCAAAUGUGAUGGAAACUCCAGAUAAGAAAAGUAAUGGCAGAUGUCAGAGGAUGGUGCUUGAAAAACGAUGAGUGAUUUGAAGUCUGGUAAGGGGCCUGAGAGUAUGGAAAGAAAAUCAGGAGCGGAUGGAGACAAAAGCGGCUGAAAUACAGAGGCUGAUAAAGUAACAGUGAUACAGAGCAGGUUUCUGUGGAUAGGAGAUCAACUUCCAUCACUCCACGGGACAGCUUCAGUUGAAGUUGAUGUCUUUCUGAACACCAGAGCUCCUGACCACGCGGCGCACAUUUGCUGAAAAGCCAAGCUUUCAUUCAUUCUGCCAUUUAGGGAAGAAUUUUCUAAGCAAUUUUGUACAAUUUGUAGGCAACGCGUGGUGGCGUGGGCGUAGGGUGGUGUUGCACCAUCUGCUUCUUGCCCUGACAGCUGCUUCACGGGCACUGGUGAUGUCCAUACACUCUCGGCUCACACUGCUCAGGAGUGGGGCGGCCGCUUUGUCCCACGCAGACCAGCUCGACUGCACGCUGUUGUUUCAGACUUAAUUGCCUGGAAGCCUUGUUCUGAGGCGCAAGAGCAAGGAAGAUGAUGGCAGAGGAAUCUCACCCCAUACCUGCGCCGAGCUCUUAGCUGCGCACUGCCGAGCGUCGGAGCGCUGGUGCGUGCAUGGCUGUGUGUCUGCGUGUGCACGUGCGCGCAUGCACGCUGCUCCGCGGGGGCUGCUGUCUGGCAGCACGGGGAUUCCACUGCCUUUGCAGGAUUUGCUCAGUGGCCUCCGCAUGUUUCCCGCUUCCUCCCAUCCUGCUGCGUGCC
RNA transcript from Chroicocephalus ridibundus (black-headed gull), 2383 nucleotides. It is a transcript of the gene named TBC1 domain family member 7, with no coding region annotated. Lineage: Eukaryota; Metazoa; Chordata; Aves; Charadriiformes; Laridae. The transcript has 10 exons. The record is from RefSeq and is a predicted model, not a curated record.